Molecule: ribosomal RNA, 497 nt
Filed under: uncultured bacterium
Lineage: Bacteria
Description: partial 16S ribosomal RNA
Rfam family: Bacterial small subunit ribosomal RNA
Source: RNAcentral
GAUGAACGCUGGCGGCGUGCCUAAUACAUGCAAGUCGAGCGAACAGACGAGGAGCUUGCUCCUCUGACGUUAGCGGCGUACGGGUUAGUAACACGUGGAUAACCUACCUAUAAGACUGGGAUAACUUCGUGAAACCGGAGCUCAUACCGGAUAAUAUAUUGAACCGCAUGGUUCAAUAGUGAAAGACGGUUUUGCUGUCACUUAUAGAUGGAUCCGCGCCGCAUUAGCUAGUUGGUAAGGUAACGGCUUACCAAGGCAACGAUGCGUAGCCGACCUGAGAGGGUGAUCGGCCACACUGGAACUGAGACACGGUCCAGACUCCUACGGGAGGCAGCAGUAGGGAAUCUUCCGCAAUGGGCGAAAGCCUGACGGAGCAACGCCGCGUGAGUGAUGAAGGUCUUCGGAUCGUAAAACUCUGUUAUUAGGGAAGAACAAAUGUGUAAGUAACUAUGCACGUCUUGACGGUACCUAAUCAGAAAGCCACGGCUAACUACGUG